GACGAACGCUGGCGGCGUGCUUAACACAUGCAGGUCGAACGGAAAGGCCCUGCUUUUGUGGGGUGCUCGAUUGGCGAACGGGUGAGUAACACGUGAGUAACCUGCCCUUGAAUUUGGGAUAACUUCAGGAAACUGGGGCUAAUACCGGAUAGGAGCUCCUGCUGCAUGGUGGGGGUUGGAGAGUUUCGGCGGUUGGGGAUGGACUCGCGGCUUAUCCGCUUGUUGGUGGGGUAGUGGCUUACCAAGGCUUUGACGGGUAGCCGGCCUGAGAGGGUUACCGGCCACAGUGGGACUGAGAGACGGCCCAGACUCCUACGGGAGGCAGCAGGGGGGAAUAUUGCACAAUGGGCGGAAGCCUGAUGCAGCAACGUCGCGAUCGGGAUGACGGCCUACUGGUUGUAAACCGCUUUCGCCUGUGACGAAGCGUGAGUGACGGUAAUUGGUAAAGAAGCACCGGCUAACUACGUG
RNAcentral lists this ribosomal RNA (468 nucleotides) under uncultured bacterium. RNAcentral describes it as "partial 16S ribosomal RNA". It matches the Rfam family "Bacterial small subunit ribosomal RNA", at positions 28 to 507 of the family's 1533-position model. The record is from RNAcentral.